RNAcentral lists this ribosomal RNA (290 nucleotides) under uncultured bacterium. Its description in RNAcentral is "partial 16S ribosomal RNA". It matches the Rfam family "Bacterial small subunit ribosomal RNA", at positions 524 to 777 of the family's 1533-position model. The record is from RNAcentral.
UACGUAGGGGUGCGAGCGUUGUCCGGAAUUAUUGGGGCGUAAAAGAGCUUGUAGGCGGUUUGUCGCGUCUGCUGUGAAAAAUCCCGGGGGCUCAACCCCCGGGACUUGCAGUGGGGGUACGGGGCAGGGCUGGGGAGUGUGGGUAGGGGGAGACUGGAAAUUCCUGGGUGUAGCGGGUGGGAAAUGCGCAGAUAUCAGGGGAGGGAAACACCCGAUGGCGAAAGGGCAGGGUCUCUGGGGCCACUACUGACGCUGAGAAAGCGAAAAGCAUGGGGGGGAGCGAAACAGGG